UACGUAGGUGGCGAGCGUUGUCCGGAUUUACUGGGCGUAAAGAGCGCGCAGGCGGUCGUACAAGUCGCGUGUGAAAGCCCCCGGCUCAACUGGGGAGGGUCACGCGAUACUGUUCGACUCGAAGGCAGGAGAGGGUAGUGGAAUUCCCGGUGUAGUGGUGAAAUGCGUAGAUAUCGUAAGGAAGACCAGUGGCGAAGGCGGGUCUCUGGACAGUUCCUGACGCUGAGGCACGAAGGUCAGGGGAGCAAACGGG
This 253-nucleotide ribosomal RNA is filed under the name uncultured bacterium. Its description in RNAcentral is "partial 16S ribosomal RNA". It matches the Rfam family "Bacterial small subunit ribosomal RNA", at positions 524 to 776 of the family's 1533-position model. The record is from RNAcentral.